GUUAAGGGUGUGUGGUGGAUGCCUCGACACUAAACGGCGAUGAAGGACGUGGCGUAGCUGCGAUAAGCCUCGGGGAGGUGCGUAGCAACCUGUGAUCCGGGGAUCUCCGAAUGGGGCAACCCAACUGCGUAAACCGCAGUUAUCUGCCAAUCUCAAGUUGGCAGAGGCAAACCCGCUGAAGUGAAACAUCUCAGUAAGCGGAGGAAAAGAGAACAAUCGUUAUUCCCCCAGUAGCGGCGAGCGAAAAGGGAAGAGCCCAAACCUUCUUUGUACUUUUUAGUACAAAGAAGGGGUUGUAAGGUGUAUACGCUGUCGCUCUCGCGGAUUGGUGCUAAAGCUUGGCAUCAAUCCGCUUGUGGCGAUAAGGGGAAGUUACAAAUUCUUUUGUUAGCCGAAUCUGCUGGGAAGCAGAACCAAAGAGGGUGAAAGUCCCGUAGGCGAAAACAAAAGAACUUCCUAGUAUACAUCCUUGAGUACCUCGGGGAACGAACGCCCUGAGGGAAUCUUCCUGAACUAUCAGGAAAGGCUAAAUACGUUUAGUGAUCGAUAGUGAACUAGUACCGUGAGGGAAAGGUGAAAAGCAGGCCGGUGAGGCCGGUGAAAUAGAACCUGAAACCACACACCUACAAGGAACCGGAGCCCGCAAGGGUGACGGUGUGCCUAUUGAAGAAUGAGCCAACGAGUUUAUGUGCAUCGCGUGUCUAAGCUCUACGGAGCGGAGGCAGAGCGAAAGCGAGUCUUAAAAGGGCGCCCAUCUUGCUUUUAGCAAGAUGACGCGGUGCGCAUAAGACCCGAAGCCAGGUGAGCUUACCUUGGGCAGGGUGAAUCUUGUCGAAAGACAAGAGGAGGCCCGAACCGGUGGGUUGUGCAAAACCUUCGGAUGACCUGAGGUAAGGAGUGAAAAGCUAAUCGAACCUGGUAAUAGCUGGUUCUCUCCGAAACAGCUUUCGGGCUGGCGUCCGGGAAAAACGUUAGAGGGGUAGAGCCACUGGUUGAGAAGUAAAGGGCGAAAGCUCGGCUUCUCAGUCAAACUCCGAAUACUCUAACGUAAAGCUCGGGCAGUUAGACUGUGGGGGCUAAGCUCCAUAGUCGCGAGGGGAACAGCCCAGAUCGUCGUCUAAGGUCCCUAAAUGUGUGCUAAGUGUGAAAGGUAGUGGUCUGCCAGAGACAGGUAGGAGGUUGGCUUAGAGGUAGCCAUCCUUUAAAGAGUGUGUAACAACUCACUACUAGAUGGCAGGCUGCGCCGAAAAUUUACCGGGGCUAAGCACACUACCGAAGACACGACUCAUCUUGUCAGAGACAAGAUCGCGGAAAGACACAGGCUUAACGCAGACUAACGCGGAACAAAUUUUUUAUUUUUCUGUGUGGUUUAGCGUUAGGUCGGCGUAAGUCAGCGUUCUUGCCUUUGAUGAGAUGGGGGUAGGAGAGCAUUCCAAACAGCGAUGAAGCUCUAGCCGCGAGGCGGAGUGGAGCGUUUGGAAGAGAAAAUGUUGGCAUGAGUAACCACAAGUCCGAUGCGAACUCGGACCCCCGAAAAUCCAAGGUUUCCUUCGCAAUGGAAAUCAGCGAAGGGUUAGGCGGGACCUAAGGCAAUGGCGAAAGCCGAAGCUGAUGGACAGCCGGUUAAUAUUCCGGCCCCCUAAGUUCUUCCCGAUGGAGUGACGAAGUUGAGUAGAGGGAGCGCCUUAAUGGUUUGGCGUUCUUGAUCGAGGACGUGUUCUUGGGAAAUCCGGAACACUGCCUUCAAUGGCGAGUCCCAGAGUAGAGACGACCCGGCGUUUAUCAAAGGGAAGUCCCUCGAGCCAGCUUCCGAGAAAAACUUCUAAGGAUAAAGAACUUAGGCCCGUACCGUAAACCGACACUGGUGGGUGAGGCGAGAAGCCUAAGGGGAACGAGUGAGUCAUCCUCAAGGAACUCGGCAAAAAAGCGGCCGUAACUUCGGGAUAAGGCCUGCCUUGCGUAAGCAAGGCCGCAGCUAAAGUCUCUCUGGCGACUGUUUACUAAAAACACAGCUCCCUGCGAACUCGUAAGAGGAUGUAUAGGGGGUGACGCCUGACCGAUGCGAGAAGGUUAAAGCUGCCGGUCGUAAGAGAACGCAAGUUGUCUUACGGCUGAGCGGCCGAAGCCCUCGUCAAUGUCAGCGGUAACUAUAGGAUAACGGUCUGUAGUUAUAAAAUCCGGCUAUAUGCGGGAAAGUCUCGUUGAAGCAAAGUACUCGGCACGACUAGUCAUCGUGUCAGUAAAAAUCUUUGUGGAGAGACAAUCCGCAGGAAAGACAAUUUACGAAUCACAAGUAACCACAACUAUGAAUCAGACAACUUCAAAUCAAUGGCUAAAGAAAGUUCCUCAGGAAGUGGGUUGGUAUCUGGCAGGCUUUGUUGAUGGAGAGGGAAGCUUCAAUGUUUCUCUUAAAAAAGUUUCUGAUUAUCAACUAAAAUGGAAAGUCGAACCAAGUUUUAAUGUCUCUCAGCGAGACAUAAGCAAUCUAAUCCUUCUGAAAAAAUCAUUAGGAACCGGAAGAUUAAGGAAAAGAAAGGAUGGAGUAGCUUACUUUGAGGUUAGGAAUUACAAAAUGCUUUACGAAAGAGUAAUUCCUUUCUUUGAGAAGUUUUCAUUCCGUUCCCGAUUGAAAGUGAGAAAUUUCUCUAUCUUUAAAAAAAUAGUUAAGCUUAUGGCUCGCGGAGAGCAUUUAACAGAAGAAGGGUUUAAAAAAAUUCUCCUUCUUCGUGAAAAAUUAAACGAAGGAAAAGGGCGAACAAGAAAAUAUUCAUUAACCGACUAUCUCGAUUCGUAAAUUGAAUCCUCAGAGACUAUACGCCGGAUCCCGCAAUAUGUGGGAAUGAUAUAGUCCGACCUCACGGGCGACCGUGAGAAGCUCCAAGGUAAUGGAGCGAUAACACAAGUGAACCGUUCUAAGGUAGCGCAAUUCCUUUCCGGGUAAGUUCCGGAGCGCACGAAUGGCGUAACGACUGGAGAACUGUCUCGAGGAUGAGCUCGGUGAAAAUGCGAUUCCCGUGAAGACGCGGGGUACCUGCAGCGGGACGAAAAGACCCCAGGAGCUUUACUGCAGCUUGAUAUUGGCUUUAGAGCUUGGAUGCGUAGCGUAGUGGGGAGGCUUUGAAGUCCACCUUUCGGGGUGGAUGGAGCCGCCAAUGAAACACCCACCUUCCAAGUUUUAGAGUCUAACCUUGACGGCAAAAACGUCAGGGGACAGUGUCUGGCGGGCAGUUUCAAUGGGGCGUUGUCCUCCUAAAGAGUAACGGAGGAGUUUAUAAGGUCGGCUUAGCCCGGAUGGAAAUCGGGCUGGACGUGUAAAGGCACAAGCCGGCUUGACGGCAAGACUGACAAGUCGCGCCGAUGCGAAAGCAGAACUUAGUGACCCGACGGCAAUGUCAUCUUGUUUUAUUCAAGACAAGAUGACUCCUUAUAGGAAGGCCGGAGACAACGGAUAAAAGCUACCCUGGGGAUAACAGGCUGGUGAGGUCCGAGAGUCCACAUCGACGACCUCGCUCGGCACCUCGAUGUCGGCUCACCACAGCGCGGGGGUGGAGAAGCUCCCAAGCGUUUGGCUGUUCGCCAAUUAAAGUGGUACGCGAGCUGGGUUUAGACCGUCGUGAGACAGGUUGGUCUCUAUCUGCUGCAGGCGUUGGAUGCUUGAGGGGAGUUGGCCCUAGUACGAGAGGACCGGGCUGAACGAACCUCUGGUCUACCGGCUUUGGCACCAGCUGAAGCGCCGGGUAGCUAUGUUCGGAAGGGAUAAGCGCUGAAAGCAUCUAAGCGCGAAGCCCACCCCAAGAUUAGGCAUCCUAGGGCGGUCGAAGAUGACGACCUUGAUAGGCUCCAGGUGUAAGAUCCGUAAGGAUUUUAGCCGAGGAGUACUAAUAGCCCGAAUUA
This 3894-nucleotide ribosomal RNA is filed under the name Candidatus Parcubacteria bacterium. Its description in RNAcentral is "23S ribosomal RNA". It matches the Rfam family "Bacterial large subunit ribosomal RNA". The record is from RNAcentral. Lineage: Bacteria; Candidatus Parcubacteria.